CACAGUUUGUUAACAUGUUUCAAUAUAACGCCGGCGAUAUGGGCCGGCAGUCUCUACCGGGCAAGCCGUAAACCGUCCCGACUAUUGAAACAGCACGCCGCAGC
This 104-nucleotide non-coding RNA is filed under the name Ruthenibacterium lactatiformans. RNAcentral describes it as "Purine riboswitch aptamer". It matches the Rfam family "Purine riboswitch aptamer". From Rfam's summary of the family: Riboswitches are metabolite binding domains within certain messenger RNAs that serve as precision sensors for their corresponding targets. RNAcentral also lists the same sequence under 1 other name. The record is from Rfam by way of RNAcentral. Lineage: Bacteria; Bacillati; Bacillota; Clostridia; Eubacteriales; Oscillospiraceae.